GCCUUGGUAGCAUAGUUGGCCAAUGCGCCACCUUGGUAAGGUGGAGAUCGCGGGUCCAAAUCCCGCCCAGGGCU
Molecule: transfer RNA, 74 nt
Filed under: Methanomicrobia archaeon
Lineage: Archaea; Methanobacteriati; Methanobacteriota; Methanomicrobia
Also listed under: 2 other names
Description: tRNA-Thr
Rfam family: tRNA
About the family: Transfer RNA (tRNA) molecules are approximately 80 nucleotides in length. Their secondary structure includes four short double-helical elements and three loops (D, anti-codon, and T loops).
Source: RNAcentral